AGUGAACGCUGGCGGUAGGCCUAACACAUGCAAGUCGAACGGCAGCACAGUAAGAGCUUGCUCUUACGGGUGGCGAGUGGCGGACGGGUGAGGAAUAAAUCGGAAUCUACUUUUUCGUGGGGGAUAACGUAGGGAAACUUACGCUAAUACCGCAUACGACCUACGGGUGAAAGCAGGGGAUCUUCGGACCUUGCGCGAUUGAAUGAGCCGAUGUCGGAUUAGCUAGUUGGCGGGGUAAAGGCCCACCAAGGCGACGAUCCGUAGCUGGUCUGAGAGGAUGAUCAGCCACACUGGAACUGGAACACGGUCCAGACUCCUACGAGAGGCAGCAUUGGGGAAUAUUGGACAAUGGGCGCAAGCCUGAUCCAGCCAUACCGCGUGGGUGAAGAAGGCCUUCGGGUUGUAAAGCCCUUUUGUUGGGAAAGAAAAGCAGCAGGUUAAUACCCCGCUGUUCUGACGGUACCCAAAGAAUAAGCACCGGCUAACUUCGUG
Molecule: ribosomal RNA, 492 nt
Filed under: uncultured bacterium
Lineage: Bacteria
Description: partial 16S ribosomal RNA
Rfam family: Bacterial small subunit ribosomal RNA
Source: RNAcentral